RNAcentral lists this ribosomal RNA (253 nucleotides) under uncultured bacterium. RNAcentral's name for it is "partial 16S ribosomal RNA". It matches the Rfam family "Bacterial small subunit ribosomal RNA", at positions 524 to 776 of the family's 1533-position model. The record is from RNAcentral.
UACAGAGGUCCCAAGCGUUGUUCGGAUUCACUGGGCGUAAAGGGUGCGUAGGUGGUAGGGUAAGUUUGAUGUGAAAGCUCCGAGCUCAACUCGGAAAUGGCAUUGAAUACUAUCCUGCUUGAGGGUUGGAGGGGGGACUGGAAUUCUCGGUGUAGCAGUGAAAUGCGUAGAGAUCGAGAGGAACACCGGUGGCGAAGGCGAGUCCCUGGACAACACCUGACACUGAGGCACGAAAGAUAGGGGAGCAAACAGG